This 475-nucleotide ribosomal RNA is filed under the name uncultured bacterium. RNAcentral's name for it is "bacterial SSU rRNA". It matches the Rfam family "Bacterial small subunit ribosomal RNA", at positions 36 to 507 of the family's 1533-position model. The record is from RNAcentral.
CUGGCGGCAUGCUUACACAUGCAAGUCGAACGGCAGCACGGAGCAAUCCUGGUGGCGAGUGGCGAACGGGUGAGUAAUAUAUCGGAACGUGCCCAGUCGUGGGGGGAUAACGUAGCGAAAGCUACGCUAAUACCGCAUACGAUCUAUGGAUGAAANCGGGGGAUCGCAAGACCUCGCGCGAUUGGAGCGGCCGAUAUCAGAUUAGGUAGUUGGUGAGGUAAAGGCUCACCAAGCCGACGAUCUGUAGCUGGUCUGAGAGGACGACCAGCCACACUGGGACUGAGACACGGCCCAGACUCCUACGGGAGGCAGCAGUGGGGAAUUUUGGACAAUGGGCGCAAGCCUGAUCCAGCAAUGCCGCGUGCAGGAUGAAGGCCUUCGGGUUGUAAACUGCUUUUGUACGGAACGAAACGGUGAGCUCUAAUACAGUUUGCUAAUGACGGUACCGUAAGAAUAAGCACCGGCUAACUACGUG